RNAcentral lists this ribosomal RNA (301 nucleotides) under uncultured bacterium. RNAcentral's name for it is "partial 16S ribosomal RNA". It matches the Rfam family "Bacterial small subunit ribosomal RNA", at positions 509 to 807 of the family's 1533-position model. The record is from RNAcentral.
CAGCAGCCACGGUAAUACGGAGGAUCCGAGCGUUAUCCGGAAUUAUUGGGUUUAAAGGGUGCGUAGGCGGAUAGAUAAGUCAGUGGUGAAAGACGGUGGCUCAACCAUCGCAGUGCCGUUGAUACUGUUUAUCUUGAAUAUGGAUGAGGUAGGCGGAAUGUGGCAAGUAGCGGUGAAAUGCAUAGAUAUGCCACAGAACACCGAUUGCGAAGGCAGCUUACCAAGGCAAAAUUGACGCUGAGGCACGAAAGCGUGGGGAUCGAACAGGAUUAGAUACCCCUGUAGUCCCUGUCUCUUAUAC